AAAUAAAAAUAAAUACGAGAAAUACACAUAUUUUUCCCGCAUUUUUUUUUGACGAGAAAUAGAUUUACAAGGGAUUUUUAAAGGGUUUUAUAAGAUUUACAAGAGAUUUUAAAAGGGUUUUAAAAUAUUUACGAGAGAUUUUAAAAAGGUUUUAAAAGAUUUACAAGGGAUUUUAAAAUGGUUUUAAAAGAUUUACAAGGAAUUUUAAAGGACUUUAAAAGAUUUACAAAGGUUUUUUAAAGAUUUUUAAAGUGUUUAAAAUUGUUUUAAAAGGGUAUUAAAAUAUUUAUAAGGAAUUUUAAAGGACUUUAAAAGAUUUACAAAGU
This 326-nucleotide small RNA is filed under the name Arabidopsis thaliana (thale cress). RNAcentral describes it as "ATSL257480". Lineage: Eukaryota; Viridiplantae; Streptophyta; Magnoliopsida; Brassicales; Brassicaceae. The record is from RNAcentral.